Molecule: long non-coding RNA, 639 nt
Filed under: Homo sapiens (human)
Lineage: Eukaryota; Metazoa; Chordata; Mammalia; Primates; Hominidae
Description: HSALNT0178206
Source: RNAcentral
GACAAAUAACACAUUAUUGAAAUGCCCUGAUAAGUGCUUUUCAUAGAUAAUACUAUGGAAUUACAGAGGAGGGGCACUUAAUCCAGACUGGGAGGGGCAUAAAAGGGGAAUGCACUACUUCCCAUAACAAGAAGUUCUACAUUGGGACCACACCACUCCAGGAUUGAUUCAUUCAAUGGCUCAUAAAUCUGCCAUCCUCAGGACCCAGUGAUGUCCAAGGACUGAAAAGGAUUGUGUGUCUCUACUUAUUAGCUUGAGAAACCUUGCCAGAGGUCCUUGGACGCUUUCUACCUAUUUGCCCAAAUUAGAUAUAUCCCUGGCAAGGUGAAUGAGUGCCUUAGAUCAGUCCCAAUUCCCUUCUGUAGGCCUGAAGCUAGAGAGACUUAGCAGGAAGAUGGAACUUACCCAAAAGUAGAGCUCUGCCAGCAUGGGAAAAAGGAAAAGUGCCUGCAACAGGAAAAACAACAAAGAGAGAGAGGUGGAGAGGAACACGCCAAAGAAAGAGAGAGAGCCCACACUAUCCUAAGCUCCUGAAUGCACUGUGACAUCCAGGUGUCCUGGGGAAGACAUAAACACAUCAUACAGCACCCACAGGAACUUCAAGAGACUGGAGUUAAUAAAGAGAUUAAAGAGAUUAAC